CUAGCUGGAUUGAAUCGGUACGGAAAUCAUACAAACAAAUAGUGGUAAAACCGCGUGGUUCGUAUAGUAAUUACAAAAGGAAUGGUUGGGAAUUAUACGCUUCACAAAGGUAUUCCGCAUUCAAUAAAGAAGGAGAAUAACAGGUUAGAGAACCACUGGGACUAAUCACCUCAAGCUAGUACAACUGAUCUAUCCAUAUGAAGAAAAGGAUAGCAUGCUUGCUUACAGAAUGUAUUUUAAUGGACUUCACUGAUGCCCUGUCCGAUUUCAUAAUUCCUCCGUAUAGUGUCUUCAGCGAUUUUGUUGGUA
This is a non-coding RNA of Schizosaccharomyces pombe (fission yeast), 309 nucleotides long. Lineage: Eukaryota; Fungi; Ascomycota; Schizosaccharomycetes; Schizosaccharomycetales; Schizosaccharomycetaceae. The record is from the annotation of a GenBank genome assembly.